RNAcentral lists this ribosomal RNA (577 nucleotides) under uncultured bacterium. RNAcentral describes it as "partial 16S ribosomal RNA". It matches the Rfam family "Bacterial small subunit ribosomal RNA", at positions 357 to 932 of the family's 1533-position model. The record is from RNAcentral.
UGGGAAUUUGGACAAUGGGCGAAAGCCUGAUCCAGCAAUGCCGCGUGUGUGAAGAAGGCCUUCGGGUUGUAAAGCACUUUUGUCCGGAAAGAAAUCCUUGGCUCUAAUACAGUCGGGGGAUGACGGUACCGGAAGAAUAAGCACCGGCUAACUACGUGCCAGCAGCCGCGGUAAUACGUAGGGUGCAAGCGUUAAUCGGAAUUACUGGGCGUAAAGCGUGCGCAGGCGGUUUGCUAAGACCGAUGUGAAAUCCCCGGGCUCAACCUGGGAACUGCAUUGGUGACUGGCAGGCUAGAGUAUGGCAGAGGGGGGUAGAAUUCCACGUGUAGCAGUGAAAUGCGUAGAGAUGUGGAGGAAUACCGAUGGCGAAGGCAGCCCCCUGGGCCAAUACUGACGCUCAUGCACGAAAGCGUGGGGAGCAAACAGGAUUAGAUACCCUGGUAGUCCACGCCCUAAACGAUGUCAACUAGUUGUUGGGGAUUCAUUUCCUUAGUAACGUAGCUAACGCGUGAAGUUGACCGCCUGGGGAGUACGGUCGCAAGAUUAAAACUUAAAGGAAUUGACGGGGUCAUAGCUG